RNAcentral lists this non-coding RNA (145 nucleotides) under Canis lupus familiaris (dog). Lineage: Eukaryota; Metazoa; Chordata; Mammalia; Carnivora; Canidae. The record is from RNAcentral. RNAcentral also lists the same sequence under 1 other name.
UGGACAACAUCCGUCUUCCCACAUACUGUGUGCAGUGCUCUGCUGAGGAAGGUGCUCAUUGCAUUCAUUUAUAAGAGUAAUUAGGACCUCCCUGAGCGGAGUAAUGCUCACUUAAAGUACGUCUGCGGUGUCUUCCAGAGCGGUG